CACACUUGGUCGGCGAUGCCUCUCCCCACUCCUCUUGACAAGCUUUCCAUCCCAUCAACAUGGGUUUGGAGAGGCCUUUUCUGUGGCACACGGGAAAGGAAAAAGACAGGGGCUGCCAACAAGGGAUGAACGCAGUAAAACUUCAUUACUUUGUUAGUUAACGAAGGCAUUGAUCAUCCGGUUAGAUCGAUUUCGGUAUUUGCUGUAAGUCACCCAGUUCGUCCGUGUUCCUUUCGUAACUACUGUUUUAAGUCCAUACCUCGUCCUCCUAGCCCUCUAGACCAUCAGUGAAGUGUCCACAAGUCCUAUUUCCGAUACCAACUUUGAAGGACAGUUUAGGCGGAAAUAUCACGCAAUUCUGAAAAAGCCAAGGUGAUUUGGAGCCAGAAUCAACAUUAAAGACUAGAGCCGCCGGUGCUGGGAUACUGCUUGCAAAGUGUUAUCACGAUUAAAGAAGAGCCAUGAGCCACUCUUCCUCGCCGAACCGAGGAAGUUGAAACACGAUCAGAAAUCGAACGAGAGCUCUCGUUUUCUCCCUGGAUAAUCGGGCUGGGUUUCGACCAUUGUUUUAAGCCCUUGAUAGCUAUGAGACGUGAAGCGCGGAUAAUCCGCUGAAUCCUAGGAGGGCAGAAAAACACCAACAGAUCUAACCCAUAUU
This 658-nucleotide small RNA is filed under the name Histoplasma capsulatum. Its description in RNAcentral is "hypothetical RNA". The record is from RNAcentral. Lineage: Eukaryota; Fungi; Ascomycota; Eurotiomycetes; Onygenales; Ajellomycetaceae. RNAcentral also lists the same sequence under 1 other name.